Molecule: long non-coding RNA, 13678 nt
Filed under: Nicotiana tabacum (common tobacco)
Lineage: Eukaryota; Viridiplantae; Streptophyta; Magnoliopsida; Solanales; Solanaceae
Description: long non-coding RNA (NTAB_LNC000614)
Source: RNAcentral
CUCUCUCUCUCUCUCUGCUCUAUGUAACUGUGGAGUGUGGAUUCUUCAAGAAAGCAGCAAUUUCUCCUUCACAUUCCUUUAAAAUUCUCGGGUAUGUAACUACUCUCUCUCCUUGCUAUGUAUUUCAAUUCACUCGCUGCUAUUCCUCGCUCUCUCUUUUUCCGUUUUGCUCAAUGUUUGAAUCUCUUGCCGAGAUUUUGUCUUGUUGAUAGUGGUUAUGAUUGUUUAAUUCUGAAAUGAGAAGCCAUUGAAUGCUAUUUCUAGUGGGAAUUUGGAAGAGCUAGGGCUUUGAGGUCUUGAAUUUUUAUAGUUUAUUGAAUUUGUGCACAUAUUGUGUUUGAGAAAAUGCUUGGCCGAGUCAAAAAUUGAAAUCCAUGGGAAAACGAAUUUAUGCGAAGGAAUUUAGUGGGACAAUAAUUUAAGUUUAAAAUAUCUUCAGAUUAAAAAACAAUAAAUAUGUCAUAUUAAUUUGAAGGAAGUAUUAGAGUUUUUCAAGCUAAGCAACGAAGUCUCUGAAGUGCUCACAAGAUUGAUAGUGCGAGAAGUAGCAUAUAGAAGAAGUUUGAGGCCAAAGAUACCUAGGAGAUUGAAUGAUAAAUUUUAUCCUUAGAACAGUGAGUUAUUGAGAAAGUAAGGCAUUGGUAGGCUUUUGGCUUCUGUUACUUGGGACCUAUGUGCAAGUUUCAGUUUUGUUUUUUAGUUGUACAUAUCAAACAAUAUAGUUAUUAGUUAUUGAAACUUAUUAUCACCAUAAAUUUUAUAUAAUUGAACCAAGCAUUUAUCUUAAAGAUAAUGGUACACCUAUGUUCUUAAAAUCCUGGAUACGUCUCUGGUAUCGUCGAUUUAAUUUGGCAAGAUUCUUUCUAACGUAAGUGUAAGUUUUGCUUGAUAUAGCGUUGACAAACUUUAUCUUAUAUGGCCACGUAACAAGAACUUGGCACUCGUCUUCGUUCAUGGCACUUUAUCAAAAUAUCAAUGUAAUUACUGCUAUUAUUGUAUAUGGUCGAAAUCGGGCAUACCCGAUUUCAUUGGCAGGGGAGUUACCUCGAAGGGUAGCUCCAUAAUAGAUCAGACUCGAGCUCGAAGAUAGAACAUCGGACCUGGAGAUCGAAGUGUUCAUUGAGAUCGAGGCCAGCAACAAUCGAGACCAAGCAUAACUGACUUCGAGUAAGUCGUGACAACGGAAUGGCGAGAUAUCAGGAGCCGGUCGAAGAUCACAGUGGAAAUCCCAUAACAGAUCAAAUCAAAGCGGUUAUUGAUGCAAAUCAUGGAAUUUACUUCCGUUGUUAGAUUUGUACCUUAUUUAGGAUUCCUCUAUGAUAUAAAGAGGGAUCCCAUUCAUUCGUAAGAUCCAUCAUUCACUAUUCACCGAUAAGAAUCUAUACAUCCGUUGCUCUCUUUAUUUUAUUGUUCAUCACUGUUCAUCAUUGUUUGUUCCAUCCUCUAUUGUUCUUAUUAUUCAACCUCAAGACUAUCUCGAAUCGAGGUCGAGGCAUUGCUUGCAGAUCGGUUUGAUCUAUUUUAUUAUCCAAUUUAUCUAUUUAACUCAUUGUUUAUCAAUUGGUAUUGAAUUAAAUAACAUAUCCUUAAAACCACAAUAUAUGUUUAAUUGUUACUCGAUUUUUAGGGUAAAUAGUUCGGCGCCCACCAUGGGGCUAAGGAUAAUAGUGAUUGUUCAGUACUGAUUCUGGUAAAACACAUUAUUUUAUGCUUGUUCUUGUCAAGAAUAUUUGCUUUCAGGUUAAAACAUGUCAAACUCACAGAACUCAUCCACACACGGUGACAAUGGCCUCGGAUUACAUGGGGAAAACAAAAAUGUGAAUUCACCAGGAGCCGAGGUUCCACACGCUAAUCUUGGAGGAGCACCGAUUGCCAAUCCAAUCGAUGUCAGUUCCCACAUUGCUUUAAAUGCGGACCUAUGCACAAACCUCGAAGGGAGUGUACGCCGGGAAGGCCGGUCAGGUGUCCAAGGAACAGAGGGCAGAAGAGACGAAGGAGUCAGUCUCCAAGUGAUAUUCGAGAUGCUUCAGGCUCAACAAGCCGUUAUUGCUCAGUUACAAAAUCAACAUAGAGCUCCGAAUAGGGUCGAGCCAGAAACUACUCGCCAUACCGAGCCAGUACUGGAAAGGUCGAAUGGUAACGAAUCGGGGACCGAUCCUACGAUAAUGAAAAUGAUCGAGGAGAUCACCAAAAGAAUUGAAUCAGGGGAGAAUAAAAUCGAAGCCAACGAUAAAAAAGUGGAGACAUACAACUCCCGAGUUGACCAGAUACCGGGGGCACCGCCAAUCUUGAAAGGGAUGGAUUAGAAGAAGUUUGUACAAAAAUUGUUCCCUCCAAGUACGGCUCUGAAGCCUAUUCCAAAGAAGUUUCGUAUGCCAAACAUACCCAAAUAUAAUGGGACCACCGAUCCGAACGAGCAUGUCACUUUCUAUACAUGCGUCAUUAAGGGUAACGAUUUAGAAGAUGAUAAAAUCGAAUUUGUGUUGUUGAAAAAGUUUGGAGAGACCCUGUCGAAAGGAGAAAUGAUCUGGUAUCACAACCUACCACCAAAUUUCAUCGACUCAUUUUCCAUGUUAGAAAAUUCAUUCGUAAAGGCGCACGUCGGGGCCAUAAAGGUCCCACCAAGGAAAUCAAAUCUUUUCAAGGUAAUACAAAGGGAUAAUGAAAUGAUGAGGGAGUUCGUGUCUCGAUUUCAAAUUGAGUGCAUGGAAUUGCCACCGGUCACGGAUUUCGAUAGCAUCAUGUUAAGCUUUCAAAUGGAGCGCAUGGAAUUGCCAAGAUUUCACCCAAGGGCUGAAUGAAUGGAGUUCGAUAGCAUCACGUCAGUUGAAAUAAAAUUUGGUCGACUAUCCAGCUGUAACUUGGGCAGAUGUGCACAAUCGAUAUCAAUCGAAGAUCAGGGUCGGGGACGACCAACUAGGAUCCCCUUCCAGUUUAGUACAUCCAAACAAUCGACAGUUAAAAACCAGAGGGACGUCGACAGGGAGCCAAGGUCGAACAAAGACCGAUACCAACCAUAUAUCGCAGAUCGAAGGAACAAUGGCCCAGGACGUAAUUCCGCCCGGAAUGAUCGAAGGAGCGAUCGAGGACAGAAUUCUCGGGGGAUUAUGAGAAAAAGUGGUUUUGACAAGUAUACUGAUCCCAUAGAAGCACCUCGGUUAUCAGAAUAUAAUUUUAGCAUCGAUGCAUCAGGCAUUGUAUCGACAAUCGGAAGGAUCAAAGAUACUAGGUGGCCCAGACCUAUACAGACUGAUCCUUCCCAAAGAAACCCAAAUUCGAUGUGUAAGUAUCAUGGCAUGCAUGGUCAUAGGACCGAGGAUUGCAGGAAAUUAAGGGAGGUAGCCCGUCUAUUGAACGAGGGCCACCUUCGAGAGUUCCUCAGUGAUCGAGCCAAGAAUAAUUUUAGGGAAAGGGAUGCCAACAGGAAAAAUGAACAGGAGGAACUGUAGCAUGUCAUUCAUAUGAUCGUUGGUGGGGUCGACAUUCUACAGGGACCCAUAUUCAAAUGCACCAAGGUAUUGAUCACUAGGGAAAAAUGAACCCGAGAUUAUGUUCCAUAAGGCACCUUAUCCUUCAAUGACGAAGAAGCAGAAGGAAUCUCUCAACUCCACAAACGACGCUCUGGUACUUUCUAUCUUGUUAAAUAAAGAUCAAGUUAAUCGUGUUUUAGUGGAUCCAGGUAGCUCGGCAAAUAUCAUCCGAUCGAGGGUCGUGGAGCAGCUCGGCCUACAGGAUCAAAUCGUACCCGCAUCUCGAGUCUUAAACGGCUUUAAUAUGGCCAGUGAAACAACUAAAGGGGAGAUUAUCCUACCGGUGAACGUGGCCAGAACCAUUCAAGAUACCAAGUUCCACGUAAUCGAGGGCGACAUGAGGUACAAUGCCCUACUCGGAAGGCCUUGGAUCCACAACAUGAGGGCAGUCCCCUCGACUCUCCACCAGAUGAUGAAAUUCCUGACGUCGGACGGUGUAAAAAUAGUGUACAGGGAGCAACAUGCUACAAAGGAAAUAUUUACGAUCGAUGAGGUAACACCGAUAUCGAAGUUAUCAACAUCAAAAAAGUCGAGCAUCAAAGGUAAACAAUAAUACAAAUAGCAAUCACCGCCACCAGCCUCGACCAUAUCGGGGAAGCAGGAGAUAGAAGAAGAAGAUGAGGAUUUUCUGACCCCUCGAACUUUUGUUGUUCCCAAAGAUUCUGACGCCACCAAAUCAACGGUCGAAGAGCUGGAAUAGAUUAUACUGAUCAAGUAGCUGCCUGAGCAAAAGGUAUACCUGGGAACGGGAUUAACCCCCAAACUCAGGAAAAAGCUUAUUCAAUUUCUUAUUGAUAACAUAGAUUAUUUACUUGGUCCCAUUUAGACAUGACAGGGAUCCCACCGGAGAUAACAAUGCAUCAAUUAAGCUUGGACCCUAAGUUCAGACCGGUGAAGCAAAAGAGAAGACCCCAGUACGAGGUAAAGCACGCAUUCAUAAAGGACGAGGUAACUAAACUUCUCAAAAUAGGGUCCAUUCGGGAGGUAAAAUAUCCCGAAUGGUUAGCCAAUGUAGUCGUAGUCCCUAAAAAAGGGAACAAACUUAGAAUGUGCGUAGACUAUAAGGAUUUAAACAAGGCAUGCCCCAAAGAUUCUUUUCCACUGCCUAACAUCGAUUGCAUGAUCAAUGCCACGGCCGGCCACGAGAUCCUUACUUUUCUCGAUGCUUAUUCCGGGUAAAAUCAAAUUCAGAUGAACCCGGAAGACCAAGAAAAUACUCCAUUUAUCACCAAGUAUGGAACAUACUGUUACAAUGUAAUGGCAUUCGGGCUAAAAAAUGCAUGGGCUACUUACCAACGCCUAUUAAAUAAAAUGUUCGAAGAACAAAUAGGUAAGUCAAUGGAAGUGUAUAUUGAUGACAUGCUAGUUAAGUCCUUGCACGCAGAGGACCAUCUAACUCAUUUGCAGGAAUCGUUCGAGAUUCUGAGGAAAUAUAACAUGAAGCUCAACCCCGAGAAAUGUUCUUUCGGGGUCGGUUCGGGCAGGUUCCUUGGCUUCAUGGUGUCGAAUCGGGGGAUCGAGAUCAACCCCGAUAAAAUCAAAGCCAUCGAAGACAUCACCGUUGUGGACAGUGUAAAAGCCAUACAGAGGCUAACUGGACGGAUAGCUGCCUUAGGUCGAUUCAUCUCGAGGUCAUCAGAUCGAAGCCACAGAUUCUUCUCUCUACUCAAAAAGAAGAACGAUUUCGCCUGGACCCCGGAAUGCCAACAAGCAUUAGAGGAAUUAAAGCGAUACUUGUUGAGCCCAGCACUGCUUCACACUCCAAAGGCAGAUGAGAAACUUUACUUGUACUUGGCCGUAUCAGAAAUUGCGGUAAGUGGAGUCCUUGUUCGAAAAGAUCAAGUUAUGAAAUUCCUUGUUUAUUACAUAAGUCGAACUUUAAGAGAAGCAGAAACUAGAUACCCACACUUAGAGAAAUUGGCACUUGCAUUGAUAAGCGCCUCUAGAAAGUUAAAACCAUACUUUCAGUGUCCCCCAUGUGCGUAUUAACCACUUACCCCUUUCGUAAUAUUUUGCACAAGCCCGAACUGUCGGGUCGACUGGCCAAAAAGGCCAUCAAACUUAGUGGGUAUGAAUAUCAACCUCGAACGGCCAUAAAGUCUCAAAUCUUAGCGGACUUCGUGGCUGAUUUCACACCAACCCUCGUACCCGAAGUAGAAAAGGAACUCUUAUUAAAAUCGGGUACAUCAUCGGGGGUAUGGACCCUUUUCACAGAUGGUGCUUCGAAUCUGAAGAGGUCGGGGCUAGGCAUCAUUUUGAAGCUGCCCACAGGUAACACUAUUAGGCAAUCUAUCAAAACUUCUAAGUUGACUAACAAUGAGGUCGAGUAUGAGGCCAUAAUUGCAGGUCUCGAUCUAGCUAAAAUCUUGGGAGCAGAAGUCAUUGAAGCUAAGUGUGACUCUUUACUGGUGGUUAACCAAGUAAACAAAACCUUCGAAGUUCGAGAGGAUAGAAUGCAAAGGUAUUUGGACAAAUUGCAGGUAACUUUGCACCGUUUCAAGGAAUGGACUUUACAGCAUAUACCUCGAGAACAAAACGGUGAGGCGGAUGCACUUGCAAAUUUGGGGUCAUCGGUCGAAGAGGAUGAGAUCAGCUCGAGGACUGUCGUUCAACUCUCGAGAUUUGUGAUCGAGGAAGGUCAUGCCGAGAUAAACUCUACAAGCUUAACCUAGGAUUGGAGGAAUAAAUAUAUUGAAUACUUGAAAAACGGAAAUCUCCAAUCGGACUCUAAAGAAUCGAGGGCCCUACGAACCAAAGCUACUCGAGUCACGUUGGCUAAAGAUGGAACAUUAUAUAGGAGAAUGUUCGACGGACCAUUGACAGUGUGUUUGGGACCAGGGGACACCGAUUAUGUUCUACGAGAGGUCCAUGAAGGCACUUGUGGGAACCACUCCGGCGCCAAAUCACUGAUUCACAAAGUCAUUAGAGCAGGAUACUACUGGGAUAGCAUGGAAAAAGACUUUAAGGAGUUUGUUCGAAAAUGUGAUAAAUGUCAAAGGUUUGCACCGAUGAUCCACCAGCCCAAAGAACAACUUCAUUCGGUCCUAUCCCCAUGGCCAUUCAUGAAAUAAGGGAUGGAUAUCGUCGGCCCUCUGUCAUCGGCCCCAGGUAAAGCUAAUUUCAUUUUAUUUAUGACUGACUAUUUCUCUAAAUGGAUUGAAGCACAAGCUUUCGAGAAAGUCAGAGAGAAAGGGGUUAUAGACUUCAUUUGGGAUCACAUCGUGUGUCGAUUAGGGAUACCCACCGAAAUAGUGUGCGACAACGGAAAAUAAUUUAUCGGCAGCAAAGUGACGAAAUUUCUCGAAGACCAUAAAAUAAAAAGGAUAUUGUCAAUGCCGUAUCAUCCUAAUAGGAACAGACAGGCUAAAUCGACGAACAAGACUAUCAUCCAAAACCUAAAGAAAAGGUUGAACGACGCUAAAGGGAAAUGGAGAGAAAUUCUACCCGAAGUCCUUUGGGCAUAUCGAACAACAUCGAAGUCCAGUACAGGGAAAACUCCAUUUUCCUUAGUAUAUGGCUCAAAGGCUUUGAUCCUAGUCGCAGUCGGGGAACCCAGUGCCAGGUUUCGACAUACAAUAGAAGAAUCAAAUCACGAGGCUAUGAAUACUAGCCUCGAAUUAUUGGAUGAAAAACGAGAAGCUGCACUCGUUCGAAUGGCUGCACAAAAGCAACGAAUCGAAAGAUAUUACAAUAGGAGAACCAACCUUCGCCACUUCAGAGUCGGGGACUUAGUCCUAAGAAAAAUCACCAUCAACACUCGAGAUCCCAAUGAAGGGAAGCUCGGCCCAAAUUGGGAAGGACCCUAUCAAUUCCUCGACAUCGUCGGAAAGGGGUCUUAUAAGCUCGGCACGAUGGACGGCGAACAACUGCAAAACAAUUGGAACAUAUCACUUCUUAAACGAUAUUAUUGCUAAGGUAUGACAUUCUCCCUUUUAUUCAUUCAUAUAUUCAAUGCUAACUUACUGCAGGUAUUCGAUCAAAGACAUCGAAACCUCAGGUUUUAAAGCACGCAUUGCACUCUUUUUCCCUUAGAUCGAUUUUUAUCCCAAAUGGGUUUUUCCGGGGAGGUUUUUAACGAGGCAAUAAUUAUGUGUUACCUGGGGACAAUUCAAUAGUAUCCAAGGAUUCUUUACAAUCAACAUCGAAUACUGGAGGGGCAUCACCCUCGGAUGUUAUAUGUUUGAGGAAAAUACUUCGUGUCAAAGGGUCUCGAUAGGAAAACUUUGUAAUGGGCCAAACGGUCGAAUGAACCAUGUCCACAUUGAUUAGUCGAACUCGAUGGCAAAACAUGUACUCAUGUAUAAAUUAUUCAAAGAAGCAUUCUUUCUAUUUCAAAUAUCUUGUGUCACAAAGAAAAUUUUCUAAUAUACGAGCUCCAUACUUGUGAUUUUGUGAGAAAUGGCUCAAGAGCCAAAUGCAAAUAUUCCUCGAACACUCGGGGACUGCCGUCGAUGAUCAACAUAUUUGAGUUAUCUAAACUCAAAUUCAUAAGACUUCAAAAAGGCACCCCUCGAUCUAUAGGCCAAGGCCGUCAUUCUCGGGGACUAACAUUUCGAACAAGUUCGAAGUGUUAUUGGGAAAUAAUCCCAAGAGGCAUACUCAAAGGAUACGGUCAAAUUAAUGCGGCUCGGAGACGUCCGAAUCCCGCUAUAAAAAUAGGCCUUCGAAUUAUUCAAAAAACCGGUAAAGGCUACCCUCGGCAAAUAAUCAAAUGGGCUUCGAUAAAAUCAGCCCUCAAAAAAUCAAAAAGGCUUCGAUAAAAUCAGCCCUCAAAAAAUCAAAAGGACAUCUGUAAAAUCAGCCCUCGAAAAACCUUAAGAAGUAUCAAAUUAUCUUAACAAAAACGUGCUAAGACAAAAAAAGCAAAGGGGUUUUAAUCGACAUCAAACCCUCAAAAAACCCAAUGGGUAAACAAAUACAUGCCAAGGCAUAAAGAAACUUUUUACUAAGUCUUUUAAGCUGAAAAAAGGGAAAAAAAUAGCCAUCUUCCAGAGGCCAUAUCGGCCCAAUCUAAAGAGCCUAAGGGCCAAUACACGUAGAGUUCGAUAUCUUGUUCUCACUCAAUUCGAACCUAAGGGUUCCACUAUUCCGAGCUCAAAUAAAACUGAUUCGAAUGUAGCUCAAGGAUUCAUCAUUAUUUGAUAUAAAACCUUAAGGGGUUUGUUAUUGUGAGUUCAAAACUUACUCGAACUUGGUUAUAAAAAUAGUGCAAGUAUGGCUUCGAUCAAGCCAUCAAUCAAAAUCCCAAACAUAUUGUUGAGCUCGGGGACUCGCCCUCGCUUAACUAAAAAACCUAAGGGUUUGUUCUACUGUAAGUUCGAUCUAGUGCUCACUCGAUUGUAGAGGUUGUAGCAACAAAGUUUUCACAAAGCAAAGGCAAAACAAAAUUUAUCACAAAAUCAUAGACAAAACGGAAAGAAAGGGAAUCUUUCAUAGAUGCAAAGUAUUUAUAAAGACCACAAAAGGCCUUACACAAAAAAUCCAAAAACAAAAAGAAGAAAAAAAUCCUAAGUGCCUAGUCCGCCUCGGGAGGCGCCUCUUCGGAAGCUUCAUCUUUAUCUCAUCCGCGAGUAGAUCUCCUCCGCUCUCGGAUCUACUCGCGGAUUCUUCAUAAUCGGAAAGCAAAGCUUCGGCCUCGUCCUCCAAUACCUUCGCACUCUCGAUAUCAGCUGUGAGGUCAAAGCCACGAGCAUGUACCUCUUCAAGAGUCUCUCUCUGAGACUGGCGCCUAGCAUGCUUGACGACGCAGGAUAAUUUAACCUCAGCAGCAACGUAAAUCACCUUUGCCCGAGUAUUAGCAUCUUCAGCGUCAGCUAAGUAAGAGGCCACGAGCACCUCCGCCUCGGAUGUGGCCCUUGUAAGCUCAGUGGCCAACCGAGCCUCGAGUUCUUCAACUUUCUUGGCUCGGGCCAAGCUCUCAUCCUUCACACUUUGGAGUUGACGCUCGACUGAAGACAGCUGGGGCCGAACCGCAUCCUUUUCCGAGGCAAGACGGUCCAUGUUCUGCUUCCACCCCAAAGUCUCUGCCUCUUUCAUCUUGGCCUCCUCACAAAGCUGCUUAACCAACUUGCCCUUUUGUUGAACCUGCAGGAUCAAAGUGUUAGUCACCAAUGUCAAGUUAAUACAUAACAAGCUCCCAAAAUUUACAUUACCCGUUCGAUAAGCUUGGUCUGAUCUUGAUGAGCUCUUGUCAGCUCGGCUCAAAGGCUCUUGAUCUCCUCUUCUUUGUGCACAUAGAGGAGUUUGAGGGUGUCACUCUCCUCCGUGAGCUUUUUGAGAUCAGCCUCACAUCAGGUCAGCUAAACCCGGUAUUUGGAAGACGCUUCUUGAUGGAGCAUUGUAGCCUGUACAGAAAGGAAGGAAAUCAGACUUAGAGAAAUAAGAACAAAUACAAACAUGAUAACAUGGGCUAAAACUUACUUGGUUCAGAAGCCACUGAGACUCAUCAAAAAUGAGUGAUGCAUCCAGUUCGGGAACAUCAUCGACCCCCGCGAAGCAGUUGUGGAAUAUAUCAUCCCCUUCGGGGGCCAUCCCCACAUCGGGGGUUCACAUGAACCGGGCAUCCCAAAACUGCCCUUCAAAGAACGUGGGGCCGGGCGACGAAUCAUCAAUGUUAAUUUCCCCAAGCGAGUCACUUGCGGCAUUCUCUUCUCUUUGAAAGGCCUCAGAAUUAGACCCUUCGGGCACACCCGCCGAUUGUUCAUCAACACCCGAAGACUUGGGGACUCUACUCAGAUCUUCCUCUGAGAUCACCUUGGUCCGUGGCUAAACCUCCUCGACCAUCGUUGGCUCAGCAGUUUUCGAAGUUUUAGUGCUUCCCCUCUUCCGAACCACCAGCAGGCAGUCGGCAUCCUCUCCAUCCUCGUCUUCCUCCCGUAGUUAUUGGACUACAUUGGCAGAUAGAAUGGAAGGAUCAAUCUUUAACUUUCGAGCCUUGCUCUUCCUAGGCUUCGGAGUAUCAGGAGGCGAGGCCCUUCUCCUCUUAUUUUCUUUAGUCUGCUUCGGGACCUCCUCUUCCCCGGGUGGAGGCGGCCUCAUGGUGAUAUUGUCUCUGACACUUGUAUAAGAAUAAAUCAAGUUAAAAGAGUAUUUUACAGGAAAGCACCAAACACAUGCAGAGGAACUUACCAUGAUUUUUGGCCUCCCAUCGACCCCUGGCCAAAUCGCGCCACGAGCGCUCAACAUACGAAGAGGUUGAGGCCUGUUGUCGAACCCAACCUGCAAGGUUCGGGACUGCACCAGGAAACCAAGGGGAAGCUGCACCAUAAAGAAGAAUAUAGAUGAGAAAAGGUAAAGGAAGCAUAACAAGUAAUCAAACGUUAUCGGUGAGGUUCUACUUACGCUUCAUGUUCCAUUCUUCGGGGAAUAGCAUCUUCUCGGCGGGGAUUAAGUCAGAGGUCCUGAAUCAGACAAACCAGUCCAUCCAUCCUCGAUCCUUGUCCUCGUCUAUGCUCGAGAAUAGUACCUUCAUGGCCUGGCACUGAAGCCUUAUCAGUCUGCCCCGAUAAAGACGGGGGUUGUAUAGCCCAAUUAGAUGAUCGAGGGUGAAAGACAUCCCCUCGGCCUUGCUCUUGAAGAAUCUAAGCAAAAUGACAAUGCACCAAAAGGAGGGGUAGAUUUGGCCUAGGGUUAUCCGGUAUUGGCGGCAAAAGUCGAGUAUGACGGGAUCGACGGGCACCGGUGUGAAAGGGUACGUAUACACGCUUAAGAACCCUUUCACAUGAGUGGCGAUGUCCUCCUCGGGGGUAGGAAUCACCACUUCUGUAUUCUCCCAGUGGCAGUCUUUUUUCACCCGCUCGAGAUCACCUCCGGAUAUCGAACAGAUGUAUCCAGACUAUAAUGACCCAGCUUGUCGUUGUGAGUAAUUACUCUACUCUCUACUAUUUGAAGUCUCGAAUAGCUUCAUAUGAUUUAUUAUGACUUGUAUGCAAAGUUUGAGGUCAAUCGGUCUUGAUUUGCUAUAUUUCGACAUCGAUUCUUCAAGAAUACGUGGUGUCACAUUAUCAAAAUAAGCUCCAAAUUCAGUUUUGAUUGAAGCAUUAGAUCCUUAUUGAAAUUACAGAGCCAUAGCAAAAAGAAUCGUCGAAUUCGGAUUAGAGAGUUAUGCCCAUUUUCGUGUCGGAAAAGAUUUUCCAUCGCCGCGAGCACCCAGGGUAGCGUGGAGCGCUAGCCCUAGCACUGGGAAUUUUUGGGGUACUGGAAACUGUGCCACGGGCAGUGCCCCAUGCUACCUGUGACACCCGAAACAGCUGAGGCCCUAUAAACGGGGUUUUCUACCAUUUUUGACAAAAAAAAUAGAGUUAGGGAGCUCGGUUUGGGCGAUAUUUGGGCGAUUUUCAUGGGUAAAUAUUGGGGUAAGUAUUUCUUAUUCUAUAUUGAUUAUAUUUCAUGAUACCAUACACAUUUACAUCAUGAAUCCGUCAAAUUAGGGAAGAAAAAUCAGAUUUUUGUAAAAUCUUUCAAAAAUGUAAAAUGAAGAUUUACAGGUCAAUCCGAUAUUGGAAUUUGAUAAAAUUGGUAUGGGUGAACUCGUAAUUGAAUGGGUUAUCGGAUUUUGUGAGUUUUUCCGGUUCCGAGAUGUGGGUCCCACGGGCAAUGUUUGAGUUAAAUUUCGGAUUUUGUUAGAAAAUUAGUAUUUUCAUAUGGAAUUAAUUUUUACGAUUCGUGUUGAGUAUAUUGAAUUGUUUGUUACUAGAUUUGGAGAUUUCAGACACGAAUUCGCGAGGCAAAGGUUUAUUGAAAUCUUGAAAUUGGUUGUGAAACGAGGUAAGUGUCUUGCCUAACCUCGAGUGGGGGAAUUACUCCUUAGGCAUCGAGUCUUAUGUGCCAUUUGUGAAAUGUGAAAAGCCGUGUACGCGAGGUGACGAGUAUGUACUCAGGCUUAUAUGUGCAAAUUUUAUUGGGUUAAAGUAUUAGGAAUUAUUGUGUAGUAAAUUGGAUAAUUGUUGGCAUUUAUUUAAUCAUCUAUUUGUCAUGCCUCAAACCACAUUUAUUGAAUUUAUUUUUAUAUGACGAUUUGAUGUGAAUGUUACCUGUAUAUUUAUAUGAAUUUCAUGAGUUUGAUGGUUGAUAUUCUUGGAAUUUAAUUUCAUUAUGAAUUUUUCCCUCUGCAAAUAUUUAAUUAAAUAAGCUUAAGAAGAGGUAUUUAUAUAAUUAUUGAGAAGUUGGAUUAAUGAAGGUGUUACCCUAUGCUGAGUAAUUUCUAUCUUUGUUUAUUGUUUUUGAGAUCUUAUACACAUUGUGUGGAGCCUUCGGCUAUUUGUUGUGAAAUUAAUUGAUUGUUAUAUCCUUGGAAUUGGUUGUGGCCAUUAGGCAAAUUGUGAGAUAAAUUGAUUUUUGUUAUGUUGCCUUGAUAAUAUUCCGUGUAAAUUGUUGUGUUGUGUGAGUUACUAUUUUGAGGAUAUAAGGGUGGCAUUCCACUAUUUAUAUUAUGUGGGCAUAAGGGUGGCAUUCCACUGUUGAUAUUAUGUGGGCAUAAGGGUGGCAUUUCACUGUUGUUAUGUGUGUUGGUAUAUUAUCUGGGCGGAGAGAUAACGGUAGCUAUAGGAGUGAUAAGGGUGGCUAUAGGAGAGAUAAGGGUGGCUAUUGAUAUUGUCAGGGCGGAAGGAUAAGGGAAGCUAUUAUGGUAGUGAUAAUGGUGGCUAUAUGAGCGAUAAGAGUAGUUAUUGAUAUUGUGAGGGAAGAGGGAUAAGGGAGGCUAUUAUAGGAGUGAUAAGGGUGGCUAUAGGAGAGAUAAGGGUGGUUAUUGUCAGUGAUGAUAUGUGAUGAUGUAGGGUUAUUGCGUUGGUAAUUUUUAUGUGGUGUUGUGAUUUUUGCUUGUGUUCAUUUUUAUACCUUGUGCAAUUUGUCUUGUUGUUGGUAAAUUGAUAAUAGUCUGAUCUAUAUUGAAAUUGGGAGCAUGUGAUUAUUGCCAGGCGGAUUAUGAAAUAAAAUGUGGGCACGAGGUACCGUGAGUAAAUAAUGAUGAUAUUGGUACGUGGACUGUCCAUGCAGUUGUGAUAUGAAAUGUGGGCACGAGGUGCCGUGGAAAUAUAAAAGUGGGCUGAGACCCGUAUUUUAUGAUUUUGAAAUGUUGUGUCACAGGGUGACUUUUAUUCGAAAGAGAUUUAGUUGAAAGAAUGUUAUUUGAAGGAAUUAUAUUUGAAAGA